RNAcentral lists this long non-coding RNA (546 nucleotides) under Chinchilla lanigera (long-tailed chinchilla). RNAcentral's name for it is "lncRNA (ENSCLAG00000022541.1)". The record is from RNAcentral. Lineage: Eukaryota; Metazoa; Chordata; Mammalia; Rodentia; Chinchillidae.
GUUUCCCACAACUUAUCUCUGAAUGGAUGUUUGGAGCUGGCAGUGGGAUGGAGCUGCCUGAGCAACUGUACUCAGCACCUGGGAGGCAAAAGCACCCUGCAGAGGUCAGCAAGUCAACAUUCCACCAGGACCACUGUGGCUGGCUUAUUCAACCAAUUCAGCUGUUAUCCUUGAAAUGCCUCCAUCUGGGCUGCCAUCCAAAGCUCUUCCUAGGUUCACCAUUGAAAAAGAGAAGCCGAUGCCCCCAGCUCUGUGUCCUGCCUCCCUUUCUGCUCUUCUCAGCCCUCUCCUGCCAGGGCACCUCUUUUUCCCAUCUCUGUGUCUCCCUCUCAUAAAGCCACUCUGUUGUGCCUUGUGAAACCCAAAUUCUAGAAAAGCAAACUUCCUUUGGUCUGUAAGUAUUUCCUUGAGAAUUCCCCAAUGUUAAUUUAAAAAAUAAACUUGCUUCCUUUCCAGACCGGCAAUUCCAUUAGACGCAAGCAUCCUCGUCAUUAACUGAGCAACAACCCUAGGAGUAGACACAACUUCUCCCACAGGCCUCCCGCG